This 319-nucleotide long non-coding RNA is filed under the name Phoenix dactylifera (date palm). Its description in RNAcentral is "long non-coding RNA (PDAC_LNC004118)". The record is from RNAcentral. Lineage: Eukaryota; Viridiplantae; Streptophyta; Magnoliopsida; Arecales; Arecaceae.
CGAGGAGGGAGGCGAAGGUCUUGCAGCCGGCCUUCUCGAGAAGGGCGGUGAGGUUGGAGGAGGCGGCGGAGGGGGCGUCGAGGAGGCCAGGGAAAACGAUGGGCGCAGAUAUCUCAAGGACAGAGAGGUUGUAGGGGACCUCGCGGACGGUCUUGGUGUAGGAGGAGUCGAGCUUGGAGCCAUGGGCGGCGGCAGAGAAGGCGACGCGGCCGCCACGGAGGUUGGUGAUGUUGACGAAGCCGGAGUUGCCCGGGGCGUUGCCGGUGGUCUGGUAGAGGGUGGUGGUGAGGGUGGAGCCGUGGGGGAUAUCAUGGAGCUU